Paramormyrops kingsleyae is the source of this 2197-nucleotide non-coding RNA. NCBI's taxonomy places the organism in Eukaryota, Metazoa, Chordata, Actinopteri, Osteoglossiformes, Mormyridae. The record is from RefSeq and is a predicted model, not a curated record.
CGGCACUGGUAAAGACCACCUUGAAUUCCACUGGAUUCCAUUCCAAUUUCAGAGAGCCACACCAUUCAUGACAUGAAUCUCUCCAAUUAAAAUGCUGCAAGCUGGUAAGACUUUGUGAGGUGGUGCUUAGAUAUUCUACAAGUAUAGUGCCAGUUGGAUCCUCUUUGUUGUCCCACAGAGGCAUUGAUGCGUCAUUGAUUAUUAUACCCAUCUCUGAAGGCUGUAGUCAAUAGAAAUGGAACUAGAAUGACAUUUUGUUGGUGACAGUGUAGAGGAUAUUGAGCUCAGGACUGGGGGAGACCGAGCAAUAAAUCCAUUUUUGUUCUCUUUUUUCAGGAAACGCUGACUCUGUAUCCAUUCCAAGUCCACAGCAUCGCGCUCUCCACCUUUGCUUCUCUGAUAGGCCCAUUUGGUGGCUUCUUUGCCAGUGGGUUUAAGAGAGCUUUCAAAAUAAAAGAUUUCGCAGACACCAUUCCUGGACAUGGAGGCAUCAUGGAUCGCUUUGACUGCCAGUACCUAAUGGCCACCUUUGUUCAUGUUUACUUGACCAGCUUUAUCAGGGGUCCCAACCCCAGCAAAGUGCUGCAGCAGUUACUGGCCCUGCACCCAGAGCAACAGCUGAGCAUUUUCUACUCACUGGGUGCCCAUCUAAGGGAGAAGGGCAUCCUACUAGCCACUGGAGGUGAGGACUAACAAUCGCUUUGAUAUGGCACUCCCCACACUGGUCUGGACCAGGUCCUGUCCACCCUCAGUGUGAAUCUUCACCCCAUGAGACACUGUAGCAACAUCUGGACAGUGCCUUGGGACAAUGCAAACAAGUGCGCCAAUGCUGAUGCAAGAACAAGUAUUCUAGUGCAUUAAUUGCUGUGGCAAGAAUACAGCAUCUUCUGCAACAUCGGGCUUUGAGCACUUGAUCGUAGACCACAGGUAGGCUACAGUAUCCAGCAGAUCUACAUAUCUGUGUGAAUACUAUGCUGAGAUGGUUUGCCUCAUGAUGAAAAAUUGUAACAAGCACUGGCAAUCUCCAGCUCUUAUAGCUAAUUUAAUAUUAUUCAUAUAUGGUGUAUAGGAAGCAUUCUAUAUUCUUCAAAUAGAUGUCUGAAGCAGUGAGUAAAUAUGUAAACUUAAGUGAUUAUUGCUGAGGUAGUUUUAACUGCAGAAUCAGGUCAUCAGUGGCAUCCUUGUAAUGUCUCAGCCUUCUUCCAAAUUGUGUGAAUAGUUAAUUGAUAUUGAAUGUAGCAGACAUGGCAAACUAGUUUGCACACAAUUCUGAAACUGCAUCACACAAUGAUGUGUACAUAUACUGAUUUACAUAUAUUGAUUUAUAGUAUUUAAAUAAUGUUAUUAAAAUAAUACAGUAAUGUAAGCAAUAGCUGGGAUCUGUAGUAUUUUAUUUUGCAAUAUUUAACAUUCCUACUGAAUGUUAUGAAUUUAAAAAGCCUAUAGUUUCCAAAUAGAUUUUUUGUAACUGGUUGUGCAUUAUGGCUUCAAGGUAAUGUACAGAUGUAUAUUAGCCAGUAGAGUUGGAUGCAUUACUCAAUGCAUAAUUCAAGUUAUUUUUUUAAAGAGAUUUAACGCAAAUGUAUUGUUUUGUAUGAGACUGAAGGGAAGCAGUGUGUGAAAAUAUUAGAACCCAUUAAUAUCGUCAGGUUUGGGAGACAUCUUUGUUUUUGUUCUGUACAGAGACUUAAAAGCAAUGAGGUAUUCUAUGCACGUACUGACUUUAGAGUAAACAAAUCUCAGAUGAUGAUGCAGCACACAGCUGCAGAGAUCCUGUACACCUGUGAGUGUAUCCCAUCAUGCUUUGUACAUUUACAAAUCUAUGCCCAUUAUAAACUGCUUUUGAAAACAAGCAGACAGAUGGAGAAUAGAUGUGAGUUCUGGUUUGUAUCACUAAUGCUUGGGAGGCAUCAGUCUAUUUUGCCUUUUUUACAGUUUCAGUUGUGCAAGGACUUUAUUUGAUCAAUUAAACUCAAUUACUCUUUUAAAAUUUAAAUUUUAAUUACCAUUUUCUAUACAAGGACCUUGUCUAGAAACAAAUGCGUGUCAUAAAAUCUGUUGCAGCGAAAUAUUUUGUAUGAAACAUUACUGUAUUAGCAUUAUUACUAUUUUAUUGACAUGGGGUAAUGGUUAUGUGAUUUGUUGACAUAUUUUUCUUUACAAAUAAAAUUUAUUUUAAUACUGUUGAGUUCAUGUA